GAGACUCAAACUCAGACCCUGAGAUCAAGUCGCGUGCUCUACCCACUGAGCCAGCUUGGAGUCCCUAAUUAGUUCUACUUUUUACAUAUCCCGGGAUUCUUCAGGAUAAUAUGGAGGAAACUCUAUAAAAAGGAACUUGGGCCGAUAGCCUUUAGAAGCUGAGAACAUAGCUUGAGUGAGAGCUAAAAAAGGACCUUCAGUCUUACAACACCAAGGAACUGGCUUCUACCGAUGACUGGAAAGAGUUUAGAAGCAAAUGUUUCUCCAGAUACUCCAGAUAAGAUCCCAGGCUGGCUGAGACCCUGAAUUUGGUUUUAUGAGAUCCUAAGCAGAGAACAGUGAAAUCCACUUGGACUUCUGACCUGCAGAAAUAUUUUUACAAAUAAAGCUGCUGUGAACGUUCAUGUUCAAGUUUCUGUAUGAACAUACGCCUUCAUUUCCAUUGAGUAAUACUUAGGAGUGGACUGUCUGGAUCCUAUAAUAGUUACAUGAACUGAGGUUGUAAGAUGUUAAAGACUCACAUACAGAAACCUGCAGCGCUGCAUGUAAUUCUGGGUCUUGACUGAUCAGGAAACCCACCCUCAAAUGCACAGGUAAUUUAAUCAAAAUCUGCUUAAAGACAAUGUGAACAAAAUUGAGGUGAGAAAUUAUGCUAUAACUGAAUGGAUUAAUAUAAAUGAAGAGGUAUUCGUCUUUAUUUUUUAAGGUGCAUUUUAGGUAUAGCCGGAUGU
Molecule: long non-coding RNA, 731 nt
Organism: Felis catus (domestic cat)
Lineage: Eukaryota; Metazoa; Chordata; Mammalia; Carnivora; Felidae
Exons: 4
Source: RefSeq, a predicted model, not a curated record